RNAcentral lists this ribosomal RNA (468 nucleotides) under uncultured bacterium. RNAcentral's name for it is "partial 16S ribosomal RNA". It matches the Rfam family "Bacterial small subunit ribosomal RNA", at positions 28 to 507 of the family's 1533-position model. The record is from RNAcentral.
GACGAACGCUGGCGGCGUGCUUAACACAUGCAAGUCGAACGGAAAGGCCCUGCUUUUGUGGGGUGCUCGAGUGGCGAACGGGUGAGUAACACGUGAGUAACCUGCCCUUGACUUGGGGAUAACUUCAGGAAACUGGGGCUAAUACCGGAUAGGAGCUCCUGCUGCAUGGUGGGGGUUGGAAAGUUUCGGCGGUUGGGGAUGGACUCGCGGCUUAUCAGCUUGUUGGUGGGGUAGUGGCUUACCAAGGCUUUGACGGGUAGCCGGCCUGAGAGGGUGACCGGCGACAUUGGGACUGAGAUACGGCCCAGACUCCUACGGGAGGCAGCAGUGGGGAAUAUUGCACAAUGGGCGGAAGCCUGAUGCAGCAACGCAGCGUGCGGGAUGACGGCCUUCGGGUUGUAAACCGCUUUCGCCUGUGACGAAGCGUGAGUGACGGUAAUGGGUAAAGAAGCACCGGCUAACUACGUG